Long non-coding RNA from Chelonia mydas (Green sea turtle), 943 nucleotides. RefSeq lists it as uncharacterized. Lineage: Eukaryota; Metazoa; Chordata; Testudines; Cheloniidae. The record is from RefSeq and is a predicted model, not a curated record. The transcript has 3 exons.
GUGCCAUUGUGUCUCCUCUCGGUGUGAAUGGUGACAAAUGAAAAUGCUGUACCACAGCAACAGCGCCACAAGUGUUGCCCUCCUUUGCCUUUUGGUAGGCCUGCCACUGCAGCCCUCUCCCUUUUGCCCAGCAUUGGCACUCGUCCCUGGCAUACCCCAGGUUCUGCAUCUCCUUUGACGUGUCCCCGUAGACGAUUUUAUUGCUGCAGGAUCCGCAGCAGUGCCUGCACGGCCCCUUCUCCCCACAGGCUGAGGAAAUCCAGGACGUCUUUCCUGGACCAGCCAGCAGCACAUGGUUUGUCUGAGGUUUCCUUCGCUGCAGCUUUCCCUGGAGCCAUACUGGUGUGCUUGCAAAGGGACCAGCGCACAGGAGUCAGCACAAGAGGAGAGAAGCAAGAACAAGAGGAAACCUGCCCUAGCAACCUAGGGCAGGUUUUGAGCAAGGAGGGGUUCGUUUCACACCCUGCCAAGCAAGAGAAGAGCAAAUUGCUUCAAGCAUUGAGAGGGAGAGAGCCUGGCUAAAUGUUAUGGGGCAACCAGAGAUUCAGCAAAGGAGCAAGCUGAACCUGCGCUGGUCUGAGGAGCUCCAAGAUGUUCUUCAGGACUAGGUGGCAUGUUUGAGGGAGAGUGAGGCUCCAUGCUCACUGCAGAAUGAUCUAUGUUUGCAAAUAUGAUUACAGCACAAACCUGGUCCCUCUUCCUCUCCCUCCUUCCCCCCGCACAAAUAAUCACAGCACAGCGUUGGCUAAUGACUGUUGCACAUGAGACCAAACCAUCCCUGAGGCUUGCAUACAGUUUUGGGCCUGUGUGGUGUGGCAGGGGCCUAGGGUCUGGCAAUAACUGAUAUUUCCCGACAAGAGGAAAAUGUAUAAAUCCGUACUACCAUGUGACCAGCUAACACAGAAAUUGGGUGCAUCCAGCAUGAGGGCAUAGUCUAGCAUCU